UAGGGAAUCUUCCACAAUGGACGCAAGUCUGAUGGAGCAACGCCGCGUGAGUGAAGAAGGUCUUCGGAUCGUAAAACUCUGUUGUUAGAGAAGAACACGAGUGAGAGUAACUGUUCAUUCGAUGACGGUAUCUAACCAGCAAGUCACGGCUAACUACGUGCCCACC
Molecule: ribosomal RNA, 166 nt
Filed under: uncultured bacterium
Lineage: Bacteria
Description: partial 16S rRNA
Rfam family: Bacterial small subunit ribosomal RNA
Source: RNAcentral